AAGGAUCUCCAACGGAGCGCGCGUCGCUGUGAUUGUUCUCGGCGUACAUCGUGUCUCCGGGCGCGUACGAGUGAGGCGUCGUUUGGCGCCACAGGUAGAUAAUGAGCGAGAUGCCUCACGACUGGUCAUGUAGGCUGCCGGACCAAUACGGAAGGAUAUGCUGCUUGUAGCCUACGACGGCUCGAAACACAGCUGCGUUGCAUCUGGUGAGGAUGUCGAUGGCCGCCUGGGGGAUCUGGAGGCCUGGCAGGCGGUCAUCAAGUAACGCAUCACCGAUGACCAGCCGUGGUUUGAGCGGUUCACUCAGGGCACCCGAGGGCAGGAAAAGAUGUCGUGUAGGACGCACCCUGCUCGACUCACCAGCGGCAGGCGGCUGUGCCGUCGAAAAUGACAGAUCUCCUGCGUUCACCUAGCGCAGCUGGUGGCGGACGCAACUCGGGAGCACACGCCGGAGCAGGAAUACAAUACAGUGACUGCGGAGGAGACCUAUUCGCUGCGCCUGUGGGCGGACGAUCCGCCCGCUCUGGCAUCUCGUAAGUCUACUCUGUAUCCUGCCGGGGUGCGCAUGAGACGACGGCUUGCCUCCGCGUCGGGCUGUUGCAGCCAAGACUUUCAGCCUCGCGCCACAUCCGCCUCACCUCAGUUAUGCACCAGCGGCAGUGCGCUUCACAACUUGUCCGGUCUGUGAAUGGAGGGCAGACGCUGCGGAGGCGGCUUGGAGUGGCUACUGCGCUGCCCCGGCGGAGGCUCUCCACGUGUACCCUGAGGCAGUGGACCACGCCGAUGGAGCCGGUAACACGCUGCUUCACAUCGCCUGUAAGGUCAAGCUGCUCUUUGUGGCGGUGGUGCGCUGCCUGCUGUGCCUUGGCGAACUUCUCGACAACCACAACAGUCGUGGCGUUGCACCGUCUCAUCUCACCUGCUUUCACGUGCAGGACAUCCUCCACGCCAACAAGCACGCGCUGCAAUCCUCUGACCCGCGGCUUGAUCGCGAGUCCGAGUUUGGCGAGACAGCGGCGCACCUUCUCGCUUUUCACGACGCGUUUCGGGCCAAAUUUGGAGAACGUGGAGGGGAUUGUGGUGCGAGUCUGCAGCAGAGCCGCUGGCCGCUGGCGAACACCGCUGGAAGUGGCGGAGGAGUGUGCCGGCAGGGGGAGUUGGCGGUGCGGGACCUACCUUCGCGCCGUCGCGCCGCAGGAGCCGCACUCGACGCAACGGGUUUCCGUCGUUCAUGCUUCGAUCGUAUGUGUGUUUGGGUGCAAUCGCGCCUGAGCAAGGCGUCAGCUGUCCAUCAGCUGCCAGCACACACACACACACACGCACACGCACACACACUUCUCCAGCUUUCUCUGCUGCCUAUGC
This 1362-nucleotide unclassified non-coding RNA is filed under the name Leishmania donovani. Its description in RNAcentral is "gene:unknown". The record is from RNAcentral. Lineage: Eukaryota; Euglenozoa; Kinetoplastea; Trypanosomatida; Trypanosomatidae.